This 460-nucleotide ribosomal RNA is filed under the name uncultured bacterium. Its description in RNAcentral is "partial 16S ribosomal RNA". It matches the Rfam family "Bacterial small subunit ribosomal RNA", at positions 338 to 795 of the family's 1533-position model. The record is from RNAcentral.
CCUACGGGUGGCAGCAGUGAGGAAUAUUGGUCAAUGGACGAGAGUCUGAACCAGCCAAGUAGCGUGAAGGAUGACUACCCUAUGGGUUGUAAACUUCUUUUAUAUGGGAAUAAAAUGUUCCACGUGUGGGAUUUUGUAUGUACCAUAUGAAUAAGGAUCGGCUAACUCCGUGCCAGCAGCCGCGGUAAUACGGAGGAUCCGAGCGUUAUCCGGAUUUAUUGGGUUUAAAGGGAGCGUAGGUGGAUUGUUAAGUCAGUUGUGAAAGUUUGCGGCUCAACCGUAAAAUUGCAGUUGAAACUGGCAGUCUUGAGUACAGUAGAGGUGGGCGGAAUUCGUGGUGUAGCGGUGAAAUGCUUAGAUAUCACGAAGAACUCCGAUUGCGAAGGCAGUUCACUGGACUGCAACUGACACUGAGGCUCGAAAGUGUGGGUAUCAAACAGGAUUAGAUACCCUUGUAGUC